CUCCAGAACUUGCUGUUCCACUGUCCUUCCUUCAACGCCGGAUCGACCACCAAGGUAAGCAAGGUAGCGCA
Molecule: small RNA, 71 nt
Filed under: Arabidopsis thaliana (thale cress)
Lineage: Eukaryota; Viridiplantae; Streptophyta; Magnoliopsida; Brassicales; Brassicaceae
Description: ATSL253030
Source: RNAcentral